CUCCUUCAGGUAUUUUUAUACAUGGAUGAGAUUCCCUCCAAGUUUUCUCUUUUCUAGGCUGAACAGGACCAGCUUUCUCAGCCUUUCCUCACAAGAGCGGUACUUCAGACCCAUGAUCACCUGGUGGUCCUACAUUGGACACUUUCCAUUACGUCCAUGCCUCUCUUGAAAUAAUUAAUAUCCAAAAUAAUAUGCUGACAUUAUAAACACGAGAGGAGCAGUGUCUCCCAGGUUUAUCUAUGAAGUAACAGUCAGUCUAAGUUACUGAAUACUCCAGUGUGUAUAUAAAUACAUUAGCAGAAGCUGUAAGCACUGUGAAUCUUCAGCCUUGUGAGAAAUUUUCCUAACAGAGAGAUGAACCCUCCACCCGCAGGGAAAAGCUGUAAAUCCAACCACAAAAUGGCUGCCCCGGCCAUUUUGCAGGGCAGGCUGGAUCACUGCUGAGGCCAGCGCCACUCUGGGCCUGCAUGGACACAGAGGGCAAACCGCUGCCUGGCUCCCCGUGGGCUGAGGGUCUGUGGCCAGCACGGGCAGCCCACAUAGAGGAUUUGUAGAGCAGAGGGCUGUGUGCCUGCUCUCUGCCCAGAGCGGAGCAGGACUCUUUGCAGGAUCACCAAAAUUUCUGGAAAUGUUAACUCAGCUGAAUGCUAGUGGCAAAUAAUUGUUCCAUGGCAAAUACUUAUUCACAUCACAAGCAGAAGCCACCUGUACUGGAGAUAGGUGCAGAAAGUUAUUCCACAUCCCCUGCACCCCGAUAUUACUACUAUUAAACUAGUGUUUUACAAAUCAUCCUCUGUUCAGCCACAUAGAUACUGGAGCUAUCCUGCCAUUCUUGGGAAGACAAUGAUCAAGAAGUUUAUGCGGAGGACAGUAACUAUUAACCAAAUAUAUCAUCCCUGACAACUAUUUGUUUUGUAAGAGACCUGAGGGAGGGGAUACAGAUUCUGUAGAAACUUACAGUUAGGGCCAAUUUAAAUGCGUUUAAUUUUCAAGGUGAAGAACUACCACAGAGACACAUAAUGACAAGAAGUGGAAGCCUGGCUGAUUCAAACUCCUGGAAGAAUGGAGCUGGCAUCCUGAAGGGCCUUACACUGCAGUCAUAGAGGGGCUAAAACAAAGAGAUGGUCACCACGGAGGAUAGAAGGUGAGAGGGGGCAGCUGCCCAGUGUAAUGGCCUGUAACUAGGAAUAUUGCAGUUCUAUCUGACAGAAUAACCACUGGCAGAAAAAACAAUUAGCUCAUCCAAUUCUACCGUGUACACAUAAAAUUUAGAAGGAGAGAGACCUAGAAAUCACAGGAGGAUCCCACAGUCAAACUUAUUUCUAUGCACAAAGUUGUUUCCUUCACAUCAAAAGCAUUUUGUAGAGAGAGAGUGCAGAAUAGACAGCGAACCAUGAAGACUGUUCCACUGCUAACUGUCUCACUUGUGUGAAAAUCAGUAUAUAAAUCAGAUAAAAAGAAUUUACUUAUUUAUGCAUUGAAGAUACUCUCUUCAUCUGAUUUACCUUCAUCUGAUGGAGAUGCUUUGCGUAAAGGGAUGCAUUAUGAAGAAAUGCAUUCUGCUAGGAAAGGCUUGAGCUGGAAAUUAAAUCCUGUGCUAAACUUUUCAAGAAGUAUCUACCUUCACUGAACUCUUUUCAUGGUCCUGCUUAUUUCUACUUUAAACUUCUCAUUUAUUGUACUUUAAGCUCCAUCAGUGAAUGUAAAUGGGGUUUCACUAUACGUUUAGUGCAUUCAAGCAUUCUUUGUUACAGUUCCCACCCUGGCGCAUUAUGUGAGCUCUGCCACGGAAGUCCAGCAGUCGGUUUGUUUUCUGCUAUUAAGAAAAGAACCUACUUUUCGCCACUUCUUUGAAGAAGUUGAAAGGGCUACAUGUUAGAGGGGGAGGUGGUGGGGAACAGACUGUGGUGUAAUCCCCAAACGCAAAUGCUGUCUAGAUUAGAAACCUCCCAGAAGAAAAUCUACAAAUGCUAAGACUGUGCUUUUUGUGUGAUGAACAGUAGAGCAAUAACUUAGCCACAUACUGGGUUCUGCCUAAUGCUUAAGGAGCCUACUAGGUGAAAGGAAUUAAAUGAAAAAAAAAAAAAAAAAUCUUCCAGUUGGCUCUGUGCCGAUGCUAGCCAACCCUUUCAGGACCCAGUGACUUACUAGUGGAACUAUUUUCAUUUGUAUUUCAUCACUGAGGUUUCUUAAUAUAAUACUUUGGAUUCUGUUAAAAUAAAUAUAUGCAAAAAAAAAAA
RNAcentral lists this long non-coding RNA (2240 nucleotides) under Gallus gallus (chicken). Its description in RNAcentral is "lncRNA (ENSGALG00010008586.1)". Lineage: Eukaryota; Metazoa; Chordata; Aves; Galliformes; Phasianidae. The record is from RNAcentral.